RNAcentral lists this ribosomal RNA (560 nucleotides) under Bifidobacterium sp. HGH0128. RNAcentral describes it as "bacterial SSU rRNA". It matches the Rfam family "Bacterial small subunit ribosomal RNA", at positions 73 to 644 of the family's 1533-position model. Lineage: Bacteria; Bacillati; Actinomycetota; Actinomycetes; Bifidobacteriales; Bifidobacteriaceae. The record is from RNAcentral.
AUCAAGCUUGCUUGGUGGUGAGAGUGGCGAACGGGUGAGUAAUGCGUGACCGACCUGCCCCAUGCUCCGGAAUAGCUCCUGGAAACGGGUGGUAAUGCCGGAUGUUCCACAUGAUCGCAUGUGAUUGUGGGAAAGAUUCUAUCGGCGUGGGAUGGGGUCGCGUCCUAUCAGCUUGUUGGUGAGGUAACGGCUCACCAAGGCUUCGACGGGUAGCCGGCCUGAGAGGGCGACCGGCCACAUUGGGACUGAGAUACGGCCCAGACUCCUACGGGAGGCAGCAGUGGGGAAUAUUGCACAAUGGGCGCAAGCCUGAUGCAGCGACGCCGCGUGAGGGAUGGAGGCCUUCGGGUUGUAAACCUCUUUUGUUUGGGAGCAAGCCUUCGGGUGAGUGUACCUUUCGAAUAAGCGCCGGCUAACUACGUGCCAGCAGCCGCGGUAAUACGUAGGGCGCAAGCGUUAUCCGGAUUUAUUGGGCGUAAAGGGCUCGUAGGCGGCUCGUCGCGUCCGGUGUGAAAGUCCAUCGCUUAACGGUGGAUCUGCGCCGGGUACGGGCGGGCUGG